AUUCCAGCUCCAAUAGCGUAUACUAAAGUUGUUGCAGUUAAAAAGCUCGUAGUUGAAUUUCUGGUCGUGGCGACCGGUCCGCCCCUCACGGGGUGUGCACCUGGUCUCUGCGUCCAUCCUCGGGGAGAGCGCGUCUGGCAUUCAGUUGUCGGGCGCGGGAUCCUCGUCAUUUACUGUGAGCAAAAUAGAGUGUUCAAAGCAGGCUUAGGCCGUUGAAUACAUUAGCAUGGAAUAAUAAGAUAGGACCUUGGUCUAUUUUGUUGGUUUGCAUUCCAAGGUAAUGAUUAAUAGGGAUAGUUGGGGGUAUUCGUAUUCAAUUGUCAGAGGUGAAAUUCUUGGAUUUAUGGAAGACGAACUACUGCGAAAGCAUUUACCAAGGAUGUUUUCAUCG
RNAcentral lists this ribosomal RNA (391 nucleotides) under Chrysophyceae sp. RNAcentral's name for it is "partial small subunit ribosomal RNA". It matches the Rfam family "Eukaryotic small subunit ribosomal RNA", at positions 582 to 975 of the family's 1831-position model. Lineage: Eukaryota; Chrysophyceae. The record is from RNAcentral.